This 279-nucleotide ribosomal RNA is filed under the name uncultured bacterium. RNAcentral's name for it is "partial 16S ribosomal RNA". It matches the Rfam family "Bacterial small subunit ribosomal RNA", at positions 506 to 784 of the family's 1533-position model. The record is from RNAcentral.
UGCCAGCAGCCGCGGUAAUACGAAGGUCCCAAGCGUUGUUCGGAAUUACCGGGCUUAAAGAGCCCGUAGGUGGUUAAAAAAGUUGAUGGUGAAAUCCCAAAGCUCAACCUUGGAACUGCCAUCAAAACUUUUUAGCUAGAGUGUGAUAGAGGUAAGUGGAAUUUCUAGUGUAGAGGUGAAAUUCGUAGAUAUUAGAAAGAACACCAAAUGCGAAGGCAACUUACUGGGUCACUACUGACACUGAGGAGCGAAAGCAUGGGUAGCGAAGAGGAUUAGAUA